Molecule: long non-coding RNA, 1488 nt
Filed under: Numida meleagris (helmeted guineafowl)
Lineage: Eukaryota; Metazoa; Chordata; Aves; Galliformes; Numididae
Description: lncRNA (ENSNMEG00000008484.1)
Source: RNAcentral
CACAACCUCUGAAGAGGCUUACUAAGCCAGAGUUAAGAACAAGAAAAAUCUGCUUCUACUCGGUUCUUCUUAAUGGGAUGCCUGACCCUUACAGCACUCUUUUUCUUCAAGACUAACCACAGCUGGAGCAGACAACGUAAAACUCCCAACUCAGAAAUGUCUCAAGAAGAGGAGAGUUAACUUCCAAACAAAGUUUUAAUGGACUAGACGGUACGUUUAUAGUUUGGCUGUUAUAUAAAGUACUGUAAGAAACUGAACAUCAAUCAUACAAAUUUAUUCAGACCACAUUUGUAGCUGACAUUAACCUUCAAUUGAUAUAAAUAAGCACAUCUGAUAUGAGCACUGUUUAUAAGAGUGCUUAAUACCCAGUCACGCAUACUAUAUCUAAAAUUCACCCUGAUUAGACUUCCAGAAAUUUGCAGGUACAUUCUGCAGUCAAAGGAAAAUAUCCAUAGGUCAGGUAUUCAAUGACCUUAAGACACAGGGCUCAGUUGCAAAACAUUUUGAGGUUUGAGUGCUUCCUGCUACAGGAAUUAAAUUAUUAUGUCAGUUCAUAAAUAACCAAGGGAGUCAGUAGGUUUAUGCAAUAUUUAUCUAAUUUAAAUUCACCAGAAGGUACAAUUUGUUUCAAGUCUGCCUAUUUUGCGGUGCUUAAGGCCAGCAGCAAACAGGUCUGCCUCCCUUGCUCUUGUGCCCAGUUUAUAAGAGCACUGUGCCAAGCAGAAACUCUCAAAGUUCUGUGGACCAGACAGACACAGAUCCCCUGAGCUGACUGGCUGGCUCUGCCCUUCAUCUCUGGAUGCUCUCUGUGAAGCAAAACAUCACAGACUCCUUUGUACUGCUAUUUCAGAGUCCAAGAAAUGCUGGAAUGAAUUAUCUCCAUGGCAAUAUUCAUCAAAGCACUCCAGCUUCUAUGGAAGCCAGGGAUGAAAUGUUACGCGGCAAAUCUGAAGGAAAAGUGCACCCAUUGGAUUCUCACAAGCAGUCUAAGUGUUCACAGGAUAAAAUGAAUUCAACUGGAACAUUUCUUUCAGAAAGUAUUUUCUCUCAGCUGAUGUCUCUGAGCAGUGCUAGCAUUACCUAUUUUGGCAAUGAACAUAUUUUAAAGAGCAUUUUUUCACUAACAAAUAGACAUUCUGAGAGGUAAGCAUAUGUUUAAGUGUUCCACAGAGCCAUGGUCUGAAAGAGGAAAGAGUCUUAUGGAAAGCAUGCCAGGAUGAAAUCCUGGCCCACAGAAGUCAGUAAGAAUUUUGCUUUUGAUUUUAAUGAAGCCAGGAUUUCACUCAAGAGAACUGCAGAAGGGUCAAACUACUCAGAGGGAAAAGAAGUAUCCAGAUGUCUCACAGUAUUGGGCUCAAAAUCAGAAAGUGCUGCAACAUCAUGAAACAUUUUUUCACUCUCUUUACUGCAAGAAAUAGAAUGCUUGAAUUUUAACUAAAAACAAUUUUUACCAAUAAAACUUACACAAAAAAAUGUAUUGGAGAAGAA